Molecule: ribosomal RNA, 253 nt
Filed under: uncultured bacterium
Lineage: Bacteria
Description: partial 16S ribosomal RNA
Rfam family: Bacterial small subunit ribosomal RNA
Source: RNAcentral
UACGGAGGGUGCAAGCGUUAUCCGGAUUCACUGGGUUUAAAGGGUGCGUAGGCGGGCAGGUAAGUCCGUGGUGAAAUCCCCGAGCUUAACUCGGGAACUGCCAUGGAUACUAUUUGUCUUGAAUAUUGUGGAGGUAAGCGGAAUAUGUCAUGUAGCGGUGAAAUGCUUAGAUAUGACAUAGAACACCAAUUGCGAAGGCAGCUGGCUACACGAAUAUUGACACUGAUGCACGAAAGCGUGGGGAUCAAACAGG